Molecule: ribosomal RNA, 399 nt
Filed under: uncultured bacterium
Lineage: Bacteria
Description: bacterial SSU rRNA
Rfam family: Bacterial small subunit ribosomal RNA
Source: RNAcentral
GGGGAAUAUUGCACAAUGGAGGGAACUCUGAUGCAGCGACGCCGCGUGAGUGAAGAAGGUCUCCGGAUCGUAAAACUCUGUCCUUGGUGAAGAUAAUGACGGUAGCCAAGGAGGAAGCCCCGGCUAACUACGUGCCAGCAGCCGCGGUAAUACGUAGGGGGCGAGCGUUGUCCGGAUUUACUGGGCGUAAAGGGUGAGUAGGCGGUUGUAUAUGUCAGGUGUAAAAGGCGUAGGCUCAACCUACGUAUGCACUUGAAACUGUAUAACUUGAGUGCAGGAGAGGUAAGCGGAAUUCCUAGUGUAGCGGUGAAAUGCGUAGAUAUUAGGAGGAACACCGGUGGCGAAGGCGGCUUACUGGACUGUAACUGACGCUGAGUCACGAAAGCGUGGGUAGCAAAC